This 501-nucleotide ribosomal RNA is filed under the name uncultured bacterium. Its description in RNAcentral is "partial 16S ribosomal RNA". It matches the Rfam family "Bacterial small subunit ribosomal RNA", at positions 30 to 523 of the family's 1533-position model. The record is from RNAcentral.
AUUGAACGCUGGCGGCAGGCUUAACACAUGCAAGUCGAGCGGGGUGAUGGUGCUUGCACUAUCACUUAGCGGCGGACGGGUGAGUAAUGCUUAGGAAUCUGCCUAUUAGUGGGGGACAACAUCUCGAAAGGGAUGCUAAUACCGCAUACGUCCUACGGGAGAAAGCAGGGGAUCACUUGUGACCUUGCGCUAAUAGAUGAGCCUAAGUCGGAUUAGCUAGUUGGUGGGGUAAAGGCCUACCAAGGCGACGAUCUGUAGCGGGUCUGAGAGGAUGAUCCGCACACUGGACUGAGACACGGCCCAGACUCCUACGGGAGGCAGCAGUGGGGAAUAUUGGACAAUGGGGGGAACCCUGAUCCAGCCAUGCCGCGUGUGUGAAGAAGGCCUUAUGGUUGUAAAGCACUUUAAGCGAGGAGGAGGCUCUUUUGGUUAAUACCCAAGAUGAGUGGACGUUACUCGCAGAAUAAGCACCGGCUAACUCUGUGCCAGCAGCCGCAGUAA